GUCCCGAUAUCCAGAAGCAGAGUUUGAAAAACUCUAGCGACGGCACGGGUGUCCGACUCACGACAACGAGGAUAGACAGCCGGUCCCCUCUGAACGGUAUAUAAUAUACAUUAUGCGACGAUGAUAGACGACAAACUGGAUGAAACUUUAAGUCUCGUUCAGGUAGUGUGUAAAUCAAAAAUUCGAUGGGACUCGCAUCCGUCGUCCUCGCGCGGUCUUUCGUCCCGAUAUCCAGAAGCAGAGUUUGAAAAACUCUAGCGACGGCACGGGUCUCCGACUCACGACAACGAGGAAAGACAGCCGGUCCCCUCUGAACGGUAUAUUAUAUGAAACUUUAAGUCUCGUUCAGGUAGUGUUUAAAUAAAAAAUUCGAUGGGACUCGCAUCCGUCGUCCUCGCGCGGUCUUUCGUCCCGAUAUCCAGAAGCAGAGUUUGAAAAACUCUAGCGACGGCACGGGUGUCCGACUCACGACAACGAGGAAAGACAGCCGGUCCCCUCUGAACGGUAUAUUAUAUGAAACUUUAAGUCUCGUUCAGGUAGUGUUUAAAUAAAAAAUUCGAUGGGACUCGCAUCCGUCGUCCUCGCGCGGUCUUUCGUCCCGAUAUCCAGAAGCAGAGUUUGAAAAACUCUAGCGACGGCACGGGUGUCCGACUCACGACAACGAGGAAAGACAGCCGGUCCCCUCUGAACGGUAUAUUAUAUGAAACUUUAAGUCUCGUUCAGGUAGUGUGUAAGUCAAAAAUUCGAUGGGACUCGCAUCCGUCGUCCUCGCGCGGUCUUUCGUCCCGAUAUCCAGAAGCAGAGUUUGAAAAACUCUAGCGACGGCACGGGUGUCCGACUCACGACAACGAGGAUAGACAGCCGGUCCCCUCUGAACGGUAUAUAAUAUGAAACUUUAAGUCUCGUUCAGGUAGUGUGUAAGUCAAAAAUUCGAUGGGACUCGCAUCCGUCGUCCUCGCGCGGUCUUUCGUCCCGAUAUCCAGAAGCAGAGUUUGAAAAACUCUAGCGACGGCACGGGUGUCCGACUCACGACAACGAGGAUAGACAGCCGGUCCCCUCUGAACGGUAUAUAAUAUACAUUAUGCGACGAUGAUAGACGACAAACUGGAUGAAACUUUAAGUCUCGUUCAGGUAGUGUGUAAAUCAAAAAUUCGAUGGGACUCGCAUCCGUCGUCCUCGCGCGGUCUUUCGUCCCGAUAUCCAGAAGCAGAGUUUGAAAAACUCUAGCGACGGCACGGGUCUCCGACUCACGACAACGAGGAAAGACAGCCGGUCCCCUCUGAACGGUAUAUUAUAUGAAACUUUAAGUCUCGUUCAGGUAGUGUUUAAAUAAAAAAUUCGAUGGGACUCGCAUCCGUCGUCCUCGCGCGGUCUUUCGUCCCGAUAUCCAGAAGCAGAGUUUGAAAAACUCUAGCGACGGCACGGGUGUCCGACUCACGACAACGAGGAAAGACAGCCGGUCCCCUCUGAACGGUAUAUUAUAUGAAACUUUAAGUCUCGUUCAGGUAGUGUUUAAAUAAAAAAUUCGAUGGGACUCGCAUCCGUCGUCCUCGCGCGGUCUUUCGUCCCGAUAUCCAGAAGCAGAGUUUGAAAAACUCUAGCGACGGCACGGGUGUCCGACUCACGACAACGAGGAAAGACAGCCGGUCCCCUCUGAACGGUAUAUUAUAUGAAACUUUAAGUCUCGUUCAGGUAGUGUGUAAGUCAAAAAUUCGAUGGGACUCGCAUCCGUCGUCCUCGCGCGGUCUUUCGUCCCGAUAUCCAGAAGCAGAGUUUGAAAAACUCUAGCGACGGCACGGGUGUCCGACUCACGACAACGAGGAUAGACAGCCGGUCCCCUCUGAACGGUAUAUAAUAUGAAACUUUAAGUCUCGUUCAGGUAGUGUGUAAGUCAAAAAUUCGAUGGGACUCGCAUCCGUCGUCCUCGCGCGGUCUUUCGUCCCGAUAUCCAGAAGCAGAGUUUGAAAAACUCUAGCGACGGCACGGGUGUCCGACUCACGACAACGAGGAUAGACAGCCGGUCCCCUCU
Bombus huntii is the source of this 2029-nucleotide long non-coding RNA. RefSeq lists it as uncharacterized. Lineage: Eukaryota; Metazoa; Arthropoda; Insecta; Hymenoptera; Apidae. The transcript is spliced from 3 exons. The record is from RefSeq and is a predicted model, not a curated record.